UGCGGGGCGGCGGGCUACCAUGCAGUCGAGCGGUAACAGGGGUAGCUUGCUACCCGCUGACGAGCGGCGGACGGGUGAGUAAUGCAUAGGAAUCUGCCCGAUAGUGGGGGAUAACCUGGGGAAACCCAGGCUAAUACCGCAUACGUCCUACGGGAGAAAGGGGGCUCCGGCUCCCGCUAUUGGAUGAGCCUAUGUCGGAUUAGCUAGUUGGUGAGGUAAUGGCUUACCAAGGCAACGAUCCGUAGCUGGUCUGAGAGGAUGAUCAGCCACAUCGGGACUGAGACACGGCCCGAACUCCUACGGGAGGCAGCAGUGGGGAAUAUUGGACAAUGGGGGCAACCCUGAUCCAGCCAUGCCGCGUGUGUGAAGAAGGCCCUCGGGUUGUAAAGCACUUUCAGCGAGGAAGAACGCCUAUCGGUUAAUACCCGGUAGGAAAGACAUCACUCGCAGAAGAAGCACCGGCUAACUCCGUGCCAGCAGCCGCGGUAAUACGGAGGGUGCAAGCGUUAAUCGGAAUUACUGGGCGUAAAGCGCGCGUAGGUGGCUUGAUAAGCCGGUUGUGAAAGCCCCGGGCUCAACCUGGGAACGGCAUCCGGAACUGUCAGGCUAGAGUGCAGGAGAGGAAGGUAGAAUUCCCGGUGUAGCGGUGAAAUGCGUAGAGAUCGGGAGGAAUACCAGUGGCGAAGGCGGCCUUCUGGACUGACACUGACACUGAGGUGCGAAAGCGUGGGUAGCAAACAGGAUUAGAUACCCUUGGUAGUC
This 762-nucleotide ribosomal RNA is filed under the name Halomonas sp. Its description in RNAcentral is "bacterial SSU rRNA". It matches the Rfam family "Bacterial small subunit ribosomal RNA", at positions 34 to 795 of the family's 1533-position model. The record is from RNAcentral. Lineage: Bacteria; Pseudomonadati; Pseudomonadota; Gammaproteobacteria; Oceanospirillales; Halomonadaceae.